Molecule: ribosomal RNA, 503 nt
Filed under: uncultured bacterium
Lineage: Bacteria
Description: bacterial SSU rRNA
Rfam family: Bacterial small subunit ribosomal RNA
Source: RNAcentral
AUUGGGUUUAAAGGGUCCGCAGGCUGUUUGUUAAGUUAGAGGUGAAAUCCUACCGCUCAAACGGUAGAACUGCCUUUAAAAACUGGCAAACUUGAGUUAUUGUGAAGUAAUUAGAAUGUGUAGUGUAGCGGUGAAAUGCAUAGAUAUUACACAGAAUACCGAUUGCGAAAGCAGAUUACUAACAAUUAACUGACGCUGAGGGACGAAAGCGUGGGUAGCGAACAGGAUUAGAUACCCUGGUAGUCCACGCCGUAAACGAUGGUCACUAGCUGUUUGAUGUACAUUGGUACAUUGAGUGGCUAAGCGAAAGUGAUAAGUGACCCACCUGGGGAGUACGCUCGCAAGAGUGAAACUCAAAUGAAUUGACGGGGGCCCGCACAAGCGGUGGAGCAUGUGGUUUAAUUCGAAGCAACGCGAAGAACCUUACCUACACUUGACAUCCAGAGAACUUUCUAGAGAUAGAUUGGUGCCUUCGGGAACUCUGAGACAGGUGCUGCAUGGCU